GGGUUUAAAGUGUGCGUAGGCGGGCGUAUAAGUCAGUGGUGAAAUCCUGGAGCUUAACUCCAGAACUGCCAUUGAUACUAUAUGUCUUGAAUAUGGUGGAGGUAAGCGGAAUAUGUCAUGUAGCGGUGAAAUGCAUAGAUAUGACAUAGAACACCUAUUGCGAAGGCAGCUUACUACGCCUAUAUUGACGCUGAGGCACGAAAGCGUGGGGAUCAAACAGGAUUAGAUACCCUGGUAGUCCACGCCCUAAACGAUGAUUACUCGACGUGUGCGAUAAACGGUACGCGUCUGAGCGAAAGCAUUAAGUAAUCCACCUGGGAAGUACGACCGCAAGGUUGAAACU
RNAcentral lists this ribosomal RNA (343 nucleotides) under uncultured bacterium. Its description in RNAcentral is "bacterial SSU rRNA". It matches the Rfam family "Bacterial small subunit ribosomal RNA", at positions 556 to 901 of the family's 1533-position model. The record is from RNAcentral.